UAAUUUUUAGGGAUGAUGUUGACUGCUGCAGCUGCAUUGUCGCUAAAUUAGUGUGGGCUUAAAUCAUUCCUCUGGCUCAGGAUGUCCCUGAAGAGACUGUGUAACCCAAUAGGAUAUUCUGGGUCUGCUCAUGUCGUGUUUACCUUGCUCAUAGUACUCCUCUCUGUAGAUCUGCUGCUGGCUGGGGCUGGAAACAGAUUUCUAAGAAAAAGAAUGCUGGAAAUAUGGAAGGUGGUGACAGUGACAGCAUCCCAAGUCUAGAAGGUGAUACUGUGCAGAUUCUGGAUAACUGUGAUGAGAGGACAUAUUCAGAUCAUGGUACAUGAUAUGGAUAAAGAAGAUUCUGUAACAGUGGAGUCAGUGGAAAGGCCAGUGGUCAUCUUGAAACUCCUCCUUGAUCUUCCUGGAGAGGUCUGUGUUUAUACCAUUUAUUUUAAGUGUGAGAACUUUAUGUCAGACCAAACCAUUAGCGGCUCUCCAGGGAGCAAACAGCAAAGUGCCGGCGAGGCCCAGGGCCGCUGUGAAGAGACAGAGUUUCUACACUGACAGUUUCUACACUUAUACAUUUCUCCCCUGGAAGAAGGCGAUGAGGAGAUAUUACUGAGGGGGGGAGAGAGGAGAGCAGCAGAUCAAGCAGCAACAACAAAGCCCCUCCAGGCAGCUGUGGAGCAGCAGCUCAGGGGAACAGGCUGGGAAACCUGGGCCUGGGCAUCUUUGUUGUGAUGGGAGCUGUACCCCAAGCCCCCAGCUGCCUGCAGACCCUGGGGUGCCCACCGGUUCUGGGCUAUUCUGUCAGAUGUAAUAUGUACAUGGAUGCACAUUUCUUCUUUGAACAUUUUAGGAGUUCAUGCAUAUUCCUAUGCCCACAGUUAAGCUGAAGUCGGGGGCCUGUUGGUGAAGAUGAUGAUUUGUUUGGGGAUGGAGGGAUGAACAACUAUUUUCUUCAACCUGAUGGAUUGCUUCCCAUCUCUGUUUCGAACUACCAAGUAAUUGCAGCCAAUGAAAGACUUUGUUUCAUUCAUCUCACGCUUUAAUGUGACUGAUAAUAUUACCCAGUAACGUACGGCAUUCGUGUCAGCGAAGAAGGAUUUCACUUGUCUG
RNAcentral lists this long non-coding RNA (1101 nucleotides) under Anas platyrhynchos (mallard). Its description in RNAcentral is "lncRNA (ENSAPLG00020016142.1)". The record is from RNAcentral. Lineage: Eukaryota; Metazoa; Chordata; Aves; Anseriformes; Anatidae.